Long non-coding RNA from Musa acuminata AAA Group (dessert banana), 489 nucleotides. RefSeq lists it as uncharacterized. Lineage: Eukaryota; Viridiplantae; Streptophyta; Magnoliopsida; Zingiberales; Musaceae. The transcript has 3 exons. The record is from RefSeq and is a predicted model, not a curated record.
CCGCUCCCUCGUAUCCCGACAGCUUUCUCUUCUAUCGUUGCCCUGCUCUCCCUUCUUCGAUCAGUGUCUUCUUCGCCGGAUCUUGGCUGAGGCCUCUCCACAAUCGGAGCCAUAUUAUUGGUUGAUAGAGAGACGAAGCAUGAGAAAGUACCAUUGAGGUCUCAGUCCAACUCGAGAAAGAAAAAGAAGCAGCUCUUAUGGAGGCAGGGCAGAAAGCAAGGAAUUGGCUUCCAUGCUGGAGUAGAAUCGAGGGAGGCAUUCACAAGGAAACGAAGGAAGCGAGGAGAAGAAAGAAGAUGGAAAAAGACGAAGAAGAAAAGGUGAAGGAUGAAGUGUUGGGGUAAUUACUGGAAUUGAAAUUGAAUUAGGAUUUGAAACUGUCUUUUCUAAAGAAACAACGAAACCAGAGGUGAAGAAAGCACGGCACGGUGGCAAGUAGUGAAAGUUGCUCGAAAAAGACUAAACCAUUAGGAUCCACCAAACCUGUUG